Molecule: long non-coding RNA, 3132 nt
Filed under: Homo sapiens (human)
Lineage: Eukaryota; Metazoa; Chordata; Mammalia; Primates; Hominidae
Description: HSALNT0159715
Source: RNAcentral
GUCUUCAGCUACCAGAGUGGGUAGGGAAGGACCAUCAAGUGGGGGCAGGGCUAGGUGUGUCUGAGCUCAGACUCUCCUUGGGUGAGUCUUGCUGUGGCUGCUGUGGGGGAGGGGGGGGUGAGGUUCCCAGGUGAAUAGAGUUGUGUACCUAGGAGGAUAAUGGCUGCCUCUGCUGAGUCAUGCAGGUUGUUAGGGAAGUGAGGGAAAGCUGGCAGUCACAGGCCUCACCCAGCUCCCAUGCAAUCCAAAUGGCCAGUCUCACUCUCACCAUGCCCCCUCUAAAGCAUUGAGUCUGUUUCCAAGCAGUGGGUAAGCAGGGGUGAGAACUUGCCGCAGGCUACCCACCUCCCAGCUGUGAAAGAAAAGGGCUUUCGUUCUUCCCCCACCUGUGGAGUCUACACGCUGGAUUUGUGCCCUCCCUUGAGUUCUGGCCAGGAGGCUUCUCCACCUGUUCAAAUUGUUAUAAAGUUCAGCUGGAGACUUCCUUCUCUCCGUGGCAUUUUCCUCAUGCCUCUGGCCACCCUCCCAAAGGAUCCCUGUGAGGCCAGGCAGGAAUGGCCUGCUUGGGGACCCAGCAAGCUUCUAGGGCCUUUGCUGCUGCUUCCUCUACCCCUGUAUUUCGCUCGGCUCUCUAAAUGGACUCAGCUCCAGAUGAGGAAACGGAGAUUCACAAAAAUCAGGUCAUUUGUCUGAGGUCCGAGUACUGUGUGAUAGAGCAAAGAUUUGAACCCAGCUCUCUACUUACAGGUAAAUUGUCUUGUGAUUAUUUCCACAGAACUCUGACUUGGAUAAGCUACCUAAGAUCGGAACCCUCUGAUAAUUUGUGCUGCUAUUUUAAGAUCCAGUUCCAUUCUACAACUGGCUGAAGCAUGAAGUCAACUAAAAUAAACUGAAUUGAGUGGAACUGAACUGAACUGAAGUGAAAUAAUGUGAUUUCCAGUAAACCUGACACCUUAAGGACAGAACAUGAGCCUUGCCCAUCUUCCUCCCAGAGGUCCCAGCACAAUCACCGACUCACACAAUACUCUCAGUGCAUGAGUGAUGAAUUUCACUAACAGCGACCCAUCUCUCUACAUAAUCCACUCCGGUUUCACCAGAGCUGAGAGUAUCAUGAAUUACAUCUAUAGAUAGCUGUAAGCUAAUGACCAAAGCACAUAACUGAAUUCAAACAUAUUCUUUAUUGCAGUCAGAUGUGAGAAAACAAAAUUUAGAAGACAAGCCAGAAAGGAAAUGAAGAACAUAAAGAGCCUGAAUUCUCAUCGUCAAUUUUUCCCUGACUGACUCCGUUUUCCUCUCUUCUUUCCAUUUACCUUUCUGUUCCCAUCCCCAUCAUUUUUGUAGUGUUUAUUGAGUGUCUGCUGCAUGCCAGUCAAUGUGCUGAGUACUUUUCAUGUGUUAUACCAUUUGAUCGUCACAGCAGCACACUAUUAUAAUUAUGAAUAUGAUUCCACAUACUAUAUCUAAAAUUUAACUUAAUUUUACAUAGGAGGAAGCUGAGACUUGCCCAAGACUACUCCAUUAGUAAGAUGUGAACCAAGUGAACCAUGUCUGACUCAAACCUAACCCCUGAUUCUCUGAAUCCAUAUCACCGUAGAACUCAACAGUGAAAUAUUGGGGUAGAGAUGGAUGUACCUGCUUCUUGAGCUGAAUUCUCACCAAUCCCUCAUUUCUGGUCAUUCUUAACCUUACUCCCAGAUGUGUUUGGUCUACUGCAGCCUUCGGAUCCCUACUAGAGUUUGCCUUAGGAAUCAGCUUUCUCAGACCUGUGUCUGAGAUAAAAUGUCUGGGAUAAAAUGUCAUUUAUCCUGCUUCCUGGAUUCUGAAAUUUGAUGAUUCUGUUCUCCUCUUUCAUCUCUUCUUUCUUAAACCCUUUUUUUUAAAAAAAAAUCCUGUAACUGUCAUUUACUGGAACUUCAGAGAGAAGCAGAGGUUAAUACCUAUGUUCAAUGGAUACAGGAGAUAAAAAGAAAUUAUUUAGGCAGUUAAUGAGGGUAAGAGAGUUCUUGGCAAGGCUUCCCUUUUAACACAAGCAACCCGCCAAAUCAUUUCUUUUCUAACAAAGAGCAGCCGGUAAAAUCAAGCCACAGACACAGAUAAGCAAGCUAGAAGCUUUCACAGGUAAAUGUGGCAACUGUGCCAAUAGAAACACACUACCUAAGGGCCAGGUAUGUUCAACAUGGAGGUUCCCUCUUCCCUUUUGUGGCUACAUAAGUGGUAAAAAAGCAUGGAGCCAGCCAGGUAGAGGCCUCAUCUGCAUAAUAAAAGAUUAGGGUGAGAUGUCCAGCUUCUUCACGCCCUAUGCAAACAGCACACCUGGUCUGACUAAUCUCUUGAUCCCUAUGUAAAUGAGACACCGCCUCCUCAAGCUCCUCUAUGAAAUCCCUUGCAUUUCAGUAGGAAACCAGAAGACCCACUUGGGAGCCCCAUGCUCUCUCUGCAGGAAAGAGAGCUUUUCUUGUCUCUUUUCUCUCGCCUAUUAAACCUCAGCUCUUCAACUCACUUCUUGUGUGUCUGUGUCCUUGAUUUCCUUAGUGUGAGACAACGAACCUCAGAUAUUUACCACAGACAACGUAGCCACUUCACAAUCUUGCAAAUUUUCACCAAGUCCUUUUCAUUAUUAUGUAAGGAGUUGGAACUGACUGAUGAGGGUUUGAUUGUGAUUGCCUCUAGCUCUCCCUGAUAGCAUUUGGAUGAGCUGGACAGAUGUAGGAUUAACAAAGGUCUGUAGGGUGGAGCAAAUAUGUCUCAUUACCAAGGGUAAAAUUUCAAGUGAAGAGGCUCCCAUACUAGAGCAACCACAACAAAACAAAUAACCAUGGAUUUGGGACUGAACACUAGGAAAGAGUGAAUAUAUGUUUUUGAGGUCAGCUGUGCUGAAGGCAAGAGAAGAACAUUGCCAAGUAACUUCCAAAUGUGACAUUUUUCAACCUUGGUUUAUGACUGAAAAGCCAAGAAAGACUAAGCUAAAAUGGAAUUCAGCUUCCCAGCCUAAAUAGUGGGAGAGGUCCAAAAUACAGCUAAGGAAAAUUUUACUGGGAAAGCUAGUUGUAUCCAUUUACUCUGUUCUACACAUAUCAAUUAGAAAUUUUAAAAAGGUAAGUUUGAUCAAGCUUUUAUUCCGACAUUUGAAAA